AAGGAGUCUAACAUAUAUGCGAGUAUUUGGGUGGCAAACCCUUAUGCGAAAUGAAAGUGAGUACGAGUGGGAUCCCCCAGGGGCGCACCAUUCACCGCUCUUUAUAUCUCUUGAUAGAUUCGCGUUAGAGCAUAUAUGUUGGGACCCGAAAGAUGGUGAACUAUGCCUGGAUAGGAUGAAGCCAGAGGAAACUCUGGUGGAGGACCGUAGCGGUUCUGACGUGCAAAUCGAUCGUCAAAUCUGGGUAUAGGGGCGAAAGACUAAUCGAACCAUCUAGUAGCUGGUUCCCUC
This 291-nucleotide unclassified non-coding RNA is filed under the name uncultured fungus. RNAcentral's name for it is "partial contains 5.8S rRNA, ITS2 and 28S rRNA". It matches the Rfam family "Eukaryotic large subunit ribosomal RNA", at positions 668 to 961 of the family's 3401-position model. The record is from RNAcentral. Lineage: Eukaryota; Fungi.